UCCCGGGUGGCUCAGUGGUAAAGAAUCUGCCUGCCAGGGCAGGAGACACGGGUUCAAUCCCUGGUCCGGGAA
RNAcentral lists this transfer RNA (72 nucleotides) under Ovis aries (sheep). It matches the Rfam family "tRNA". From Rfam's summary of the family: Transfer RNA (tRNA) molecules are approximately 80 nucleotides in length. Their secondary structure includes four short double-helical elements and three loops (D, anti-codon, and T loops). The record is from Rfam by way of RNAcentral. Lineage: Eukaryota; Metazoa; Chordata; Mammalia; Artiodactyla; Bovidae.